Molecule: non-coding RNA, 3016 nt
Organism: Bactrocera oleae (olive fruit fly)
Lineage: Eukaryota; Metazoa; Arthropoda; Insecta; Diptera; Tephritidae
Source: RefSeq, a predicted model, not a curated record
UAGUUAUUUUUUUCUAUUACCCGUAUGGAUAUUUUGUAGUAGUAUGUCUGCAUUAUAUACAUAUGUAUAUGUAUAUGUUAUAUAACUUUUUACUUAGUUUUAUAUGUUUAGUUAUUUUUAACAUAUGCAUAUUUAGCGUCACGAAGAAACACAUUAGCUAAACUCUACAGCACAGGCAUUAACGCACAAAAUAUAUAUUUAUUUAAUAUUAUAUGUUUGUAUAAAUUUUGUAUAAACAGUGAAAUAAGUGAAAAAGAGAUGGUUAGAGAAUAGAGUCCAUGUCGUACGAACAAGUUUGCGUCACAUUAAACAUAAUAUUUGCACGUUUAAGCUUUUUAUGUAAGCAUUUCAGUAAGUGUGAAUCAUCCUGUCGUAUUGUUAGCUACAACGAAUUCAGUCACUUGACGUUUGAAGGCAACUACAAACUGAUAGCAACUAAACAAUUACGACGUUAAAUUACAACGAUGAUUUAGACGACUAUUAAUUUAUUACGAAUAUUUAAUGUUUUGUAUGUAUGUAUUUACUAUAUGCAAUUGUACAACGUUGACCAAGGCGAGACAUCGCGUAUUUUGAAGUAAAAAAAAAAAAAACUAUACAACGAUAAAGAUUUGCAACAUGAGACAAAACGAUGAGACUACAUUUACUACAGUCGGCAAAAAAAUAACGGAAUUUUAGCACAAUAUUUAGUUAUAUGUAAAUGUAUAUGGUCUGCUUAAUUGGUUGUAUUGGUAUCAUAAAAAUGUUUGCUGUUUCAUAAGAUACUUGAAAUAUACAUAUCAGUGACAAUGUAUUAAAGUAGCUUAAGUCUACUUAUGUUAAGGCUAUGUUUGAUUUAAAAUAUAAUACAACGCCUGACGUCUACGCACUUUCUCAGAAUGACUACAAAUGUCUGCAUUUACUUAAUUCGAAUUAAACUAUAAAUAUAUAUAACUGUAAUAAUAAUAGUUUGUAGCUCUUUCCGAAAACAAAUUUCUUUCAAACAGAGAAACACUGCAGCUAUUUUUCGGGAGAAAUACAAUAUAUUCUGCAUUGAUAAGACUGAUUUAGCUUUGCUAUUUUUUCGGAACCAUAGCCAGGGCCAUGUUAAUCGAACGACGGUUCGAUAUGCUACUGGAAAUUAAUUUGGCCUUAUUAAAGUUGAAGGUGAAAUAAUUUGGUCCAAAUGAUCCUUUUAUUGUACAAUAUAUAUUUAAACUAUGAUCCUAGUAAAGGCAUCUGUGUUCGAUCUCUGUCUCGAUCGUUAUCGUAUAUUUAUUACAGAAGUAAUGAGUACCCUUCAUAGUUAAUGUUAAUAGUUUUGAUGUAGUGAUCGAAUCCGAAUAACGGCCGAUUUUUAAAUAAGGCAGUUAAACAUAAGUUCUCAGUAUAACUUGAGGAACGCGCUUUUUUGUUAAAAAAUUAAAAUAUAUUAACUUUGGCUGCAGCGCAGCUAUAAUGACCUUACAGAUACAAUUCUAAAAGCAGCUAGGUAUAGGUAACGGGGUUUUUUUGGACGUGUGGUUUUAAAGUAGGUAAUACUCUUUUCGAAGUUGGUCUUUUCGACAGCUUUUACUUGAUUUAUACUCAUCUUGCUUUGUCAUUUCAUAAUGAACAGACUUGCUCCAGAACAAAUUUUAAAAAUCGUUCAAAUCUAUUACCAAAAUAAGGGUUCGGUUCGCGCGACGCAUCGCUCGUUAUGUCCAAUAUUUGGUCGACAUAAUCGUCCAGCAGAGUCGGUAGUUCGAGCAACAAUGAAUCGGUUUCCCACCACGUUUACUCUAGUCGAUAAUGCGCUUUCUCAGAGACGUCGUACAUUGCGUACCGAAAACGCUACAAUGCUGCUGUGGAGCAAAGUAUCGAAGGAGAUCUGAAAAAGUACAUCCGACAUCGCAACAAUUGGAGCUGUGCCCAUCGUUUGUGGAAGAUGUUUUGUGAAAGAUUUUGCGGAAGGAUCGCGGCUUACGGGCUUACAAAUUCCAACUCGCGCAAGAAGUGAAGCCGAACGACCAUCAAGUGCUGCGCACGUUGGGUGAAUGGGCCCAAAGCGAGAUGGCGAGAAGAGAAUUUUGUUUAGCGGUGAAGCUGAAUUUUUGUUAGAUGGAUAAUUCAGUUCUUGUUGCGACGUAGUUAUGUCCUCAAAAAGACACCCAUUGUUGUUCUCUAUGGGCAAAGGGAAUCACUGGCUCCUAUUUCUUCAAAAAAUGAAGUCGGCCAUAAUGUUAGAGUUAAUAGGGAACGUUAUUGGAGGAUGUUGAUGUGAAUGACCUUUGGUUCCAAUAAGACGACGCUACAUAUCAUACAGCAAACGAAACAUCUAUUUAAGGAAACUUUUGAAGGAAACUUUUGGUGGGCACAUUAUCUCGUGUCAUUGAUCUGUGGGUUGGCCUUUGGGUUGCGAAGUCGCUUGUCUACGAAGAUAAGCCCGAAACGAUUGACGUCUUGGAAAAGAAGAUUCGGUGAGUUAUUGCUGACGUACGAGCACAAUUGCUACAAAAAGUGUUAAAAAAUUGGGCCUCUCGGCUGGAAUUUAUUCGAGCCAGCAGCGGUGGUCACUUGCCCGAUAUCAUUUCUACAACACAAUGGCGAACCCUCAUCUUAUAGUAAAGCUAAAAAAACAGCUUUUAUAAUCCUAGUUCCUUAACUAUAAUCUUAGCUUCGUUCUGCACAUUUUAUAAUCAGGCACUCGCUAUAAUCAUAUGAUUGGUUGUGCGAUCACUGUUAAGAUCGACAAUAUUGAGAGCCUGAAAUACUGAAGCAGUAUCAGUUUAGGUUACUGAUAAGAACAUAUGUCCAAUUCGACAAUAAACAAUGAGAUAAAGAGCUAAGCCUUCAUUUGAACAAGUCUUUUCAAGUAUAAUUUUAUACUGUAUUUUUAAUAUUUUUGGGUCAAAAUUAAAAAAUAAAAUACAUGCGAGGUAUUGAAAGAAUAUAUCAAACCACAAAUUGGUUUAGUAAAUGUUUAAUUAAUAUAAAUUUUUUUAAUUACACGAUUAAUUAAUUAAAUAAGCUGUAAUUCUAAAACCCCUAACAAAACAUA